AGUGAACGCUGGCGGUAGGCCUAACACAUGCAAGUCGAACGGCAGCACAGUAAGAGCUUGCUCUUACGGGUGGCGAGUGGCGGACGGGUGAGGAAUACAUCGGAAUCUACUUUUUCGUGGGGGAUAAGGUAGGGAAACUUACGCUAAUACCGCAUACGACCUACGGGUGAAAGCAGGGGAUCUUCGGACUUUGCGCGAGUGAAUGAGCCGAUGUCGGAUUAGCUAGUUGGCGGGGUAAAGGCCCACCAAGGCGACGAUCCGUAGCUGGUCUGAGAGGAUGAUAAGCCACACUGGAACUGAGACACGGUCCAGACUCCUACGGUAGGCAGCGGUGGGGAAUUUUGGACAAUGGGCGCAAGCCUGAUCCAGCCAUACCGCGUGGGUGAAGAAGGCCUUCGGGUUGUAAAGCCCUUUUGUUGGGAAAGAAAAGCAGCAGGUUAAUACCCCGCUGUUCUGACGGUACCCAAAGAAUAAGCACCGGCUAACUUCGUG
RNAcentral lists this ribosomal RNA (492 nucleotides) under uncultured bacterium. RNAcentral describes it as "partial 16S ribosomal RNA". It matches the Rfam family "Bacterial small subunit ribosomal RNA", at positions 29 to 507 of the family's 1533-position model. The record is from RNAcentral.